GGACAAAGUUUUAAGAUUCAAGGAGAAUGGUAUAGGAAUCUUAGACUCUUAAACCAUGACAAGGAGAAAGAAUGAUUAGCCCCUUUUAUUGGAACUUACACGUGGCUGCACGAAAAAUAGCACAACAAAUAAAAUCUCGAAAAUUUGGUUGUGAACUCUGAUGUCGUGGCUCUUCAACGACACCUUCACUCCAUACUGUUAAAUAGGUUGGAGGUGAGAGCUAGUCAUCAUAACCAAGUCAUAACGACAAGAUCAGUCAGUUCUGCAUUAUGCUGGUAUUGACCUGUCGUCAGCAGAAAUCUCAGCAGUUUCAGUCAUCACCUGGAAAAACAACAUCCCCCUUGAUUGGAGAAAUUACCAAUGUCGAGGUCAUCCUGGUGGAAUCAACUUUAUAUUCUGUGAAUGGCCGGAGUGUGGACUGUGGAUGACUGAUGGCUAUCUUUCCCAGGCAGAAAGGUAGGACAAAUUCAUCUCUAUUCUUCCUCUUUGACUGUUUGGUGAGUUUUAUAUUGAUCUCUAUUUUUUAUAAAUCUUGACAUAGUACGGGGUAUAGGAUUAUUCUGGA
Daphnia pulex (common water flea) is the source of this 565-nucleotide long non-coding RNA. RefSeq lists it as uncharacterized. The record is from RefSeq and is a predicted model, not a curated record. NCBI's taxonomy places the organism in Eukaryota, Metazoa, Arthropoda, Branchiopoda, Diplostraca, Daphniidae. The transcript is spliced from 3 exons.